RNAcentral lists this ribosomal RNA (468 nucleotides) under uncultured bacterium. RNAcentral's name for it is "partial 16S ribosomal RNA". It matches the Rfam family "Bacterial small subunit ribosomal RNA", at positions 28 to 507 of the family's 1533-position model. The record is from RNAcentral.
GACGAACGCUGGCGGCGUGCUUAACACAUGCAAGUCGAACGGAAAGGCCCUGCUUUUGUGGGGUGCUCGAGUGGCGAACGGGUGAGUAACACGUGAGUAACCUGCCCUUGACUUUGGGAUAACUUCAGGAAACUGGGGCUAAUACCGGAUAGGAGCUCCUGCUGCAUGGUGGGGGUUGGAAAGUUUCGGCGGUUGGGGAUGGACUCGCGGCUUAUCAGCUUGUUGGUGGGGUAGUGGCUUACCAAGGCUUUGACGGGUAGCCGGCCUGAGAGGGUGACCGGCCACAUUGGGCCUGAGAUACGGCCCAGACUCCUCCGGGAGGCAGCAGUGGGGAAUAUUGCACAAUGGGCGGAAGCCUGAUGCAGCAACGCCGCGUGCGGGAUGACGGCCUUCGGGUUGUAAACCGCUUUCGCCUGUGACGAAGCGUGAGUGACGGUAAUGGGUAAAGAAGCACCGGCUAACUACGUG